UACAGAGGGGGCAAGCGUUGUUCGGAAUUACUGGGCGUAAAGGGCGCGUAGGCGGCCUGUUAAGUCGAACGUGAAAUCCCCGGGCUCAACCCGGGAACUGCGUCCGAUACUGGCAGGCUUGAAUCCGGGAGAGGGAUGCAGAAUUCCAGGUGUAGCGGUGAAAUGCGUAGAGAUGUGGAGGAAUACCGAUGGCGAAGGCAGCCCCCUGGGCCAACACUGACGCUCAUGCACGAAAGCGUGGGGAGCAACAGG
RNAcentral lists this ribosomal RNA (252 nucleotides) under uncultured bacterium. Its description in RNAcentral is "partial 16S ribosomal RNA". It matches the Rfam family "Bacterial small subunit ribosomal RNA", at positions 524 to 775 of the family's 1533-position model. The record is from RNAcentral.